AACCUGGUUGAUCCUGCCAGUAGUCAUAUGCUUGUCUCAAAGACUAAGCCAUGCAUGUCUAAGUAUAAAUGCUAUACAGUGAAACUGCGAAUGGCUCAUUAAAACAGUUAUAGUUUAUUUGGUAAUCGAAUUUACAUGGAUAACCGUGGUAAUUCUAGAGCUAAUACAUGCUGUAAUGCCCGACUUUUUGGAAGGGCCGUAUUUAUUAGAUAUCAACCAAUAAGACUUGUUCUAUUGUGGUGAAUCAUAGUAACUGAUCGGAUCGCAGGCAAGCCCUGCGACAAACCAUUCAAGUUUCUGCCCCAUCAGCUUACGAUGGUAGUGUAUUGGACUACCAUGGCUUUUACGGGUAACGGAGGAUUAGGGUUCGAUUCCGGAGAGGGAGCCUGAGAAACGGCUACCACAUCUAAGGAAGGCAGCAGGCGCGUAAAUUACCCAAUCCUGACUCAGGGAGGUAGUGACAAGAAAUAGCGGGUCGGAGUUUAACUCCGGGACUGAAAUGAGACGAAUCUACACCCCUUAUCGAGGACCGAUUGGAGGGCAAGUCUGGUGCCAGCAGCCGCGGUAAUUCCAGCUCCAAUAGCGUAUAUUAAAGUUGUUGCAGUUAAAAAGCUCGUAGUCGGAUUUCUGGCAUGGGCGAGGC
Molecule: ribosomal RNA, 643 nt
Filed under: uncultured marine eukaryote
Lineage: Eukaryota
Description: bacterial SSU rRNA
Rfam family: Eukaryotic small subunit ribosomal RNA
Source: RNAcentral